AGAACGCGGGUGAUAAGGUCCGUGUUCGAAAGGGAAACAGCCCAGACCACCAGCUAAGGUCCCAAAAUAUAUGUUAAGUGGAAAAGGAUGUGGCGUUGCCCAGACAACUAGUAUGUUGGCUUAGAAGCAGCCAUCAUUUAAAGAGUGCGUAAUAGCUCACUAGUCGAGUGACACUGCGCCGAAAAUGUACCGGGGCUAAACAUAUUACCGAAGCUGUGGAUUGUCCGUAGGACAAUGGUAGGAGAGCGUUCUAAGGGCGUUGAAGCAUGAUCGUAAGGACAUGUGGAGCGCUUAGAAGUGAGAAUGCCGGUGUGAGUAGCGAAAGACGGGUGAGAAUCCCGUCCACCGAUUGACUAAGGUUUCCAGAGGAAGGCUCGUCCGCUCUGGGUUAGUCGGGUCCUAAGCUGAGGCCGAUAGGCGUAGGCGAUGGAUAACAGGUUGAUAUUCCUGUACCACCAUGCAUCGUUUUAAGCGAUGGGGGGACGCAGUAGGAUAGGCGAAGCGUACGAUUGGAUUGUACGUCCAAGCAGUAAGACUGAGUGUUAGGCAAAUCCGGCACUCUUAAGGUCAAGCUGUGAUGGGGAGAGGAAAUUGUUUCCUCGAGUCGUUGAUUUCACACUGCCGAGAAAAGCCUCUAGCUAGAUUUAUGGUGCCCGUACCGCAAACCGACACAGGUAGUCAAGAUGAGAAUUCUAAGGUGAGCGAGCGAACUCUCGUUAAGGAACUCGGCAAAAUGACCCCGUAACUUCGGGAGAAGGGGUGCUCUUUAGGGUUCACGCCCAGGAGAGCCGCAGUGAAUAGGCCCAAGCGACUGUUUAUCAAAAACACAGGUCUCUGCUAAACCGUAAGGUGAUGUAUAGGGGCUGACGCCUGCCCGGUGCUGGAAGGUUAAGAGGAGUGGUUAGCUUCUGCGAAGCUACGAAUCGAAGCCCCAGUAAACGGCGGCCGUAACUAUAACGGUCCUAAGGUAGCGAAAUUCCUUGUCGGGUAAGUUCCGACCCGCACGAAAGGCGUAACGAUUUGGGCACUGUCUCAACGAGAGACUCGGUGAAAUCAUAGUACCUGUGAAGAUGCAGGUUACCCGCGACAGGACGGAAAGACCCCGUGGAGCUUUACUGUAGUCUGAUAUUGAAAUUCGGUACAGCUUGUACAGGAUAGGUAGGAGCCUUAGAUACGUGAGCGCUAGCUUACGUGGAGGCGUUGGUGGGAUACUACCCUCGCUGUAUUGGAUUUCUAACCCGCACCAUUAAUCAUGGUGGGAGACAGUGUCAGAUGGACAGUUUGACUGGGGCGGUCGCCUCCUAAAGAGUAACGGAGGCGCUCAAAGGUUUCCUCAGAAUGGUUGGAAAUCAUUCAUAGAGUGUAAAGGCACAAGGAAGCUUGACUGCGAGACUUACAAGUCGAGCAGGGUCGAAAGACGGACUUAGUGAUCCGGUGGUUCCGCAUGGAAGGGCCAUCGCUCAACGGAUAAAAGCUACCCCGGGGAUAACAGGCUUAUCUCCCCCAAGAGUUCACAUCGACGGGGAGGUUUGGCACCUCGAUGUCGGCUCAUCGCAUCCUGGGGCUGUAGUCGGUCCCAAGGGUUGGGCUGUUCGCCCAUUAAAGCGGUACGCGAGCUGGGUUCAGAACGUCGUGAGACAGUUCGGUCCCUAUCCGUCGUGGGCGUAGGAAAUUUGAGAGGAGCUGUCCUUAGUACGAGAGGACCGGGAUGGACAUACCUCUGGUGUACCAGUUGUCGUGCCAACGGCAUCGCUGGGUAGCUAUGUAUGGACGGGAUAAGUGCUGAAAGCAUCUAAGCAUGAAGCCCCCCUCAAGAUGAGAUUUCCCAACUUCGGUUAUAAGAUCCCUCAAAGAUGAUGAGGUUAAUAGGUUCGAGGUGGAAGCAUAGCGAUAUGUGGAGCUGACGAAUACUAAUCGAUCGAAGACUUAAUCAAAUU
This 1937-nucleotide ribosomal RNA is filed under the name Staphylococcus cohnii. Its description in RNAcentral is "partial 23S ribosomal RNA". It matches the Rfam family "Bacterial large subunit ribosomal RNA", at positions 986 to 2925 of the family's 2925-position model. The record is from RNAcentral. Lineage: Bacteria; Bacillati; Bacillota; Bacilli; Caryophanales; Staphylococcaceae.